This 120-nucleotide ribosomal RNA is filed under the name Pelobates cultripes (western spadefoot toad). The record is from RNAcentral. Lineage: Eukaryota; Metazoa; Chordata; Amphibia; Anura; Pelobatidae.
GCCUACGGACAUACCAGUCUGAAAGUGCCUGAUCUCGUCAGAUCUCAGAAGUCAUGCAGACUUGGGCCUGCUUAGUACUUGUAUGGGAGACUAAAUAGGAACCUCAGGAAGCCAUAUACU